GGACUCGUGGUCCAGUCUGGCUACGACGGUCGCCUCCAAAGCGACAUACGGGGGUUCGAAUCCUUCCGAGUCCA
Molecule: transfer RNA, 74 nt
Filed under: Halorarum halophilum
Lineage: Archaea; Methanobacteriati; Methanobacteriota; Halobacteria; Halobacteriales; Haloferacaceae
Description: Halobaculum halophilum tRNA
Rfam family: tRNA
About the family: Transfer RNA (tRNA) molecules are approximately 80 nucleotides in length. Their secondary structure includes four short double-helical elements and three loops (D, anti-codon, and T loops).
Source: Rfam by way of RNAcentral